UCCCUUGUAGCUCAGUCGGUAGAGCGUUCGGCUUUUACGACACAUCAAGUGAACCUUGGUGAGCAGCUAAUAAGGUACCGAAAUGUCCAGGGUUCGAGCCCCUGCAGGGGAG
Molecule: transfer RNA, 112 nt
Organism: Lipomyces starkeyi NRRL Y-11557
Lineage: Eukaryota; Fungi; Ascomycota; Lipomycetes; Lipomycetales; Lipomycetaceae
Rfam family: tRNA
About the family: Transfer RNA (tRNA) molecules are approximately 80 nucleotides in length. Their secondary structure includes four short double-helical elements and three loops (D, anti-codon, and T loops). Further hydrogen bonds mediate the characteristic L-shaped molecular structure. tRNAs have two regions of fundamental functional importance: the anti-codon, which is responsible for specific mRNA codon recognition, and the 3' end, to which the tRNAs corresponding amino acid is attached (by aminoacyl-tRNA synthetases). tRNAs cope with the degeneracy of the genetic code in two manners: having more than one tRNA (with a specific anti-codon) for a particular amino acid; and 'wobble' base-pairing, i.e. permitting non-standard base-pairing at the 3rd anti-codon position.
Source: Rfam